RNAcentral lists this long non-coding RNA (426 nucleotides) under Capra hircus (goat). RNAcentral's name for it is "lncRNA (ENSCHIG00000005701.1)". The record is from RNAcentral. Lineage: Eukaryota; Metazoa; Chordata; Mammalia; Artiodactyla; Bovidae.
GUCUUCUGCAUAUUUAAGGAUUGGAAAAAUUCAGUCUCCUCUCAGAGAUUCGAACUUCUGGCUUGUGGAAAAGUUGAGGUCUGCACAAGAAGAAUACAGUCUCAAGCUUUUCCCCUAUAUUGGAAAGAAUGUGAUUGACUAGGUAGGACUGUCAGGCCAACAGCAAGAAGCAAGCUCCACCUCAGAUCAUCAGGCAUUAGAUUCUGGAAGCUGCAAAGCCCUGCUAAAGGGAUCAUGGCGAUGCAUCACCGUCCUCUGUUGGAAAAUCACUGUUUCCAAAAGUCACUUAAGGUCAAAAAGUUGAGUAUUGGCACCUUCAUCUGGUUCAAAGAGAGCCACCUUCAUCUAAAAAAAUGCAUUUCAAAUUGUCACCUAAAAAUAGAAAUAUUGGGCUUGUGUAUAUCCUGCUGUGAGCCAUUGGCCUGA